Gasterosteus aculeatus aculeatus (three-spined stickleback) is the source of this 714-nucleotide long non-coding RNA. Lineage: Eukaryota; Metazoa; Chordata; Actinopteri; Perciformes; Gasterosteidae. The record is from Ensembl.
GGCCUGACUAUGAAAAAUGUUAAUAAUGGAGAACCAGAAGGUCAGUAUUCAAAGCGUCCGUUGGUGGUCUAGCUGAUCAAUUAAAGAGCUCCCUGAAAAGACAAAGGCAGUGUCCUGCAGGACAAACACCAGCUCCAGAGAUUCUUCACAACCUGCAGCCAUGUUCCUCCACUGGUGACCAUAAACAAUGAGAACAUAAUUAACCUAAAUAUCACGUGCACAUCAUAAUGUGCAUAUCCUUUAUUCCCAUGGAGCCGGAAGGUCCCACAGGUGAAGGGAAGGAAGUGCACGCGGCCCUCGUUGGACGUCCCACAACGCGCUGGAUUCCUGCAAACGUCUUGUGUGCGUCUUCAGAAGGGAAGAAAAAAAGCCUCUCUUUUUAUUUGUCCUUUCAGUCCGAGCUAAAGGGACCGAGGAACAACGUUAAUGGGAUCCAAAGGGAGUCUCUGCUCUUAAACAGGUGGAAAUUGGACGUCCUCGAAUUUUACACAAAUACUCGUCUGGUCUGCGCGCGGGGCGAUGGAGGCGCCUCCCUGUCACCCGGCAGGGCGCUCGGGUGCGCGCUAACGUCGGGGGACGGUGGUCCGCGGCGGAGGGGCGGGCGCUGCCUGCCGACAUGUGACGGCUCCUCCACACCCCAUCCGCCCGUUAAAGAGGCGAACUCCCUUCCCUCGCAUCCACCGGGAGCUCCGUUUAGCAGACUGUUUUCCCUCC